This 349-nucleotide unclassified non-coding RNA is filed under the name Hevea brasiliensis (rubber tree). The record is from RNAcentral. Lineage: Eukaryota; Viridiplantae; Streptophyta; Magnoliopsida; Malpighiales; Euphorbiaceae.
CUUUCCCCUUUGUACAAAGGCUGAGGUUUGAAAAUGCUUGAGUCACGAUGGUGUUGCAGGUGCUGCCAUUUCAUUCUAACGAGAUCUUCCUGCACCUUGGAUUGAGCCAUUUGAAGCCAGUUCCAUGUGAUUUUGGGAUUCUUUUUGAGAAAUUAGAUUAUUACUUAUUCUGUCAAUAACCAUUUGAUACAUUAGGCUCCUACUUUCGUUGCUAUAUUUUCUGACAUUNNNNNNNNNNUAUCACUAGUCUAAGAGAACAGCUAAUUCUUUUAGUUGUACUUGCAUGUAUUAGCACAGGUGAGAUAGUUUUACACUAAGAAUAGAUAUAUAUUUCAAAAAUUGUUUUUUC